GUAACGAGCGCAACCCUUGUCCUUAGUUACCAGCACGUUAUGGUGGGCACUCUAAGGAGACUGCCGGUGCAAACCGGAGGAAGUGGGGAUGACGUCAAGUCAUCAUGGCCCUUACGGCCUGGGCUACACACGUGCUACAAUGGUCGGUACAAAGGGUUGCCAAGCCGCGAGGUGGAGCUAAUCCCAUAAAACCGAUCGUAGUCCGGAUCGCAGUCUGCAACUCGACUGCGUGAAGUCGGAAUCGCUAGUAAUCGUGAAUCAGAAUGUCACGGUGAAUACGUUCCCGGGCCUU
Molecule: ribosomal RNA, 292 nt
Filed under: uncultured Pseudomonas sp.
Lineage: Bacteria; Pseudomonadati; Pseudomonadota; Gammaproteobacteria; Pseudomonadales; Pseudomonadaceae
Description: partial 16S ribosomal RNA
Rfam family: Bacterial small subunit ribosomal RNA
Source: RNAcentral